GUAGUUCCCUAACAUGCCUCACAUUAUUACAAUGUCUGAUAAGAAUUGCAUCUCAUAUCAAAGCAAGCCAUAAUCACACCAAUAGAUAUCCAACAAAAGCAUUAUUUCAAUUACCAACCAUGUAAUCCAAUUAUGCACACAAGUUAUCAACCAAUGAGAUAAAUAAAAAGUUAACAUUCCACGAAGUUUAGUAUAAUCAAACUCCGAAAAUAUUUGUCGUAUUUCCUCUACUUGGAUUCCUAAGCUUUCUCUCAGUUACUAAUACAAGGAUCCACCAACAUGGCCAAAUCCAUUUUCACAAUAUAAGACAUUACUAAAUGCAUGACAUGAACUUUAAUCCUAGUCAAAGUACUUGGAAUUACUAAUUUAACAGCCCCCAAUUCAAAUGCCAUUUUGGUUGACCUAACAUAGCUUCAUCACUGCCAAAUACGUUUGAAUGGAAAUAAUUUUGGACUAUAAGUGAUUAUGUGUUUCAAUAAGUGCACCAAUACAUUGAGCUUAUAAAUGUAUAAGAAAAUGGUUCUUUGAAACCCAAUGCAAAACCAUAUAAAGUGAUUUAAUAAACUCAAUAUGGAUAAGUAAAUUAGAAAUAAAAUUUAGAGAAGAACAGACAGUGCAAAGCAGUAACCUCUUCUCCACAAAAGCUACAAAAAAGCACUUUUAGUUAACCAAGAUUAACCUGAUUUUGAACACUCAUAACUACACCGGUUGAUGCAAACUUACAUAGGUUUCGAAGCUUGUUUUGUGUACUUCAAAAGCAUAAAAGAUUUUUAGAAAACAUGGUUCUAAGUUGAAAGUUAUGCAAGUUACAAAAUAAUCUCGAAACUGGAAACCCAGUAUUUGCUGCUGUCUGGCAGCUUUGGGACUCAAGUUUGAAUAUGAUUUUGACAUAUCAAUACUUAAUGGAAUUAAGUGAAAUCAGAUGGAUUUUGAUCAUGGACAUGUCUAGUUUUAAACCACGUAAUAUUGGCUCAAAAGGAGUCCAUAAGGAUAUAAAAAUCAAGAGCCAAAGUAGGCUACUUGAAACAUAGUUUUUCUGUGAAGAAUUAAUAAAUUUCCUGCAAUUUAGAACCUAUACCCUUAUAAUCCAAAUUACAUUUUCAGAUUGCUUCCACACAAUUCAAAAUUCAUGUUUAUAACUUCGAUUUAAAUUAUAUUCAACAAUUAACAAGACUUGACUUUUUAAUCCAAACCCUAGAACAAGAUAUUUGAUCACCACACCCAAAGUAUAUAUUGAAAAUAAUAAAAAAAAUUGAUACAAAGCGGUUAUGGUAUGAUGGAGAGAUGGGAAUCGUUACCUAUGCUGCAGGUUGACAAAAGAUAUCAUAUUUUUGUUAUGAUUCGAAAGACAUGGUUGUACACCUUCUCUCUCAAUUCAUAGUAAACAUCUUAAUUCCUUAUUUCUCUUUUCUUUUCCUGGUGUCUUCUUCUAUGUUUCCUUCAAUUUCUUUCAAGGAUUCAGACAUAGUUUCUAUCCUUAUCCCCUUUUUUUUUUUUUUUUUCUUCCGCUUUCUCCCCCCUUUUCUGAUUCGUAGUUUCGGGCAGGGAAGAUUCCCUGUAAUGCCUAUUUCCCUUCGCCAACCCAUCUCCCCCUCCCCCCCCCUCUUUUUUCUUUUCUCUUGCUCCCCCUUUCCAGAAGCCUCAUCUUUUCCCCCCUUUUUUAACCACAGCCACCACGUGGCUUUUCUACACCAAGA
RNAcentral lists this long non-coding RNA (1697 nucleotides) under Malus domestica (apple). RNAcentral's name for it is "long non-coding RNA (MDOM_LNC019866)". The record is from RNAcentral. Lineage: Eukaryota; Viridiplantae; Streptophyta; Magnoliopsida; Rosales; Rosaceae.